GCCGUCGUGGAAGUCGGUGUUGUUUCUCGUUGGUUGUGGCAUUUAGUGAUUGGAUAGUGGUUCAAGGAAGUGUCUGCAAGCCAGCGAAAUCCAGCAUCGACCAAGACAUCUAGUACCUUUCUCCCCUCUCUCUUACAGCCUGGGAUUGCAUCUCGGCGAUCUGAAGAGGUAGAGAAGUUCUGUUUUCUAUUAUUUUAUAAAAAAAAUUAUUAUGUAUUUUAUAAAACAAAAAACACCAUCACACGCAGCUUUAUUAAAGCGCAGGUGAAGAUAAAUCGAUUUAUUUUGCUGAUUUUUAGCAGCUAGAGAGAUAUAAUCCACCGAACGUCAACUGGGAAACUAUUCAAACAAACUUUUCACAAAAUGCACCAACAACCUCCUAAACGGUCCACCAAAGAAAACCGUCGGCUUGAGCCCAAAAAGAAAAGGUCACUUGCAAUUACAGCCAGAAGAAAGGCACUGACGAAAAGAAGAAAGUCACAGCACCCUCCCAACGGGAAGACGAACAAAUUUCAAACAAGAAGGCGAGCGAAUCCGAUGAGUCAUCUUUUGUCCCUCGAUUGCUUGGAGACACAUUCACACGCAGGAAAAGAUAGCUGACAAAGCUACGCCCCGUGAGGCGCGCGUCCUAACCCCUAAAAAAAUUUCUUUGUAGAUUUUUGGUUCUGUUCCAUUUCUCCUCGAAUUUUGCUUACUUUAGGUACCGUGUUUUGCACCGUCAGCUUUGCCACAAACGCAACCUAACGCGUCCGUGGAGGAAUAUGUAACUGACGACAGGCAGACGUUACGACGAAGCACAAUGAUCGAGAGACUGGGAUAUAAGAGCAUACCAGCGCUGUACGCACGGCAAGAUCGGUGAAUCAUCUCACUAUUUCUAUUGAUUGAUUUCUGGGCGUAGUAUUACAUGUGGACGGCAAGCUCUAGAGGCUCCGUCGCGGGCUGCAUUCUAACUACUAGAAUUUCUUUGUAGAUUUGAGUGUUAGCGAAGAGAAUAAGUGAGCGCCAAGAUCUAUUACCCCCUAGCCACACCGGUCUGGAGAAGAUAGGCUAUGCCUUCCCGGAGUUCAUACUGAGAAAACGAACACGUCACCAAGCGGAUCAUCAUCAUACAAACGCGCCCAAAGGCGGCGGAAGAACGGUGAAUCGUCUCGUGUUUUCCAUUGGUUGAUUUUUGGGCAUAUAAAAAAGGGCGACGGCUCAGCUCUGAGAGGCUCCGUCGCGGGGCUGCAUUCUAACUACUAGAAUUUCGUUGUAGAUUUGAGUGUAAGCAAAGAAGAAGAUAUAUCCCACCUUGGAGAUUACAGGUGGGUGGUAUUGCCCUAUCACGAUGGUUACGUUUGCCAUGUUCUAUUCCCCCCCUUGGAGAUUGGUAUGUGCUGCCCGUCCGGAUUUCGAGCUGAUACUGAUUGAACGAACCACACACCACCGACUGGGGACAUCUAGUUCUACGUAAGGCGGAUCAUGGGUGAAUCGUAGCGAAAUGUUGGUUUGAAUGAUUUUUGCGGGGUGGCGGUUAUCUUGGACGGCAUGCCAUUAAGGUGUCCGUCGCGGCGGUAUUCUAACUACUGGGAGUUUCUUUUGUAGAUUUGAGUACGCGAGCGAUGGAUUAAUGCCCUGUGUUAUGUUCGAGAUGAUACUGUCCCCAUUACGGGCGCCUCACUGUGCGAUCGAGAGGUCUAUUUCUCCCCUUGCGUGCGAUGUCCACCCGGCGGUUUCCUAGAGCUCUAUAUCAGCGUCGUUUGGAGAAGAUCCACAUCACCGGGAUGACUGGACCUUGUCACAUUCACCACAACCCCUCCCCUCUCAGGCAGAAGAUCGAUCGGCGUAUCGGUUUGCUCAUGCACCCUUAUCUGCUGGAAAGCGUCGCUCCAGCCCUUGGGAUACACGCGUUCACUUCAUCACGACUGACUUCGAAGGAUAUUUUUUUUCGCCCGGGUUUUGGCUGGUUACCUACAUUCGCGAGCAGUGCUGCUUUUGAAGGCAGAUCGCCGAGGAUUCGAGUAACCUGCGUUUUGCCCCGAUCUGGAUGGACCGCGCUCCGUCUUGUGACAGUGAUGAUCCAGCACGACGCUGUUGGUUCGCUCGCAGAGGCAGCAGUAUUUCGUGUGCCACCAUAUUUUGAUGUACUCCGGCUUUAUCCCGCGAUGGAGAAUGGCAGCAAGAAGUAACAGCGGAACACCAGUGAUAUACAUCCCUGUCUAAAGGGAAUUGGAUAAUAGCACACCUACAACACACACUCUGCAUUAAAAUAAAAAAAUACGAGGAUUUGGAACUGGAGGCAUACUACCAGAAGUUGCUCCGGUAAACAGUUGUCUUGGGCAGUUGUACAGAUGGUCUCUGUGACGCAAUUCCAUCGAGGCAUCUGGCACGGUGCACAAUUCUUCGUCCCGUCUCAUACCAUGGAUACGACGAGGAAAACAGGCAUUGUGAAUCACAGUGAAAUGUUGGCAUGAAUGAACUUUACCGAUUUGAAGUGUGAUCGUGCGAAAACGGUGAUGCAACGUUCCUCAUUUCGUAAACGAAAGACAUCGGAGUGAACGAAUUUGGUUUGAAGUAUUCUAUAACCGAGCCGUUCCUACGCAACCCCUGCAAGCGUGCUCGUCCAAUCAGCAGAGGAGAAUCAAUGGAGUCAUACGAAUAUGAUAGUUUUUGAUUGUGAAUAAUGUAGCUGACUAGGCGUAGCCUUGCCUGUACACAGCGAAGCAGACCCUGUUAGUUGAUGAAUAUACGCCAUGUGCUACAAGCUGGUUUAGGCCACUAUACGAAGGCGCCAGCGAAAUAUUUAGGAAUCAGUAUCGACCGAAAAUCGUACGAAACCUGCCCAUUUCAUGUUACACAGACAUCAUGUCACCAUCAGAGAGAGAGAGAGAGAGAGAGAGAGAGAGAGAGAGAGAAAAGGGGAAGAGAUAAUCAUUGUAAUUGUUCGUCUAUAAUCUGAAUGAUCGUAGCUGAAAUGCUCAAAACCAAAAUUCCUGUAAACUACAGGCCGGAUUUGAUGAUAAAACUUCACGCAUGUGUUGGUAGUAGUAGGAAACUAUUUCGUUCGGGAUUGGAAUCGACAUCAAUCACAUCUAUUAUGCAGCCAGGUUGAGCGGGAUAUACAAAAGAAGCCACAACAAAUCAUCGCUACAAGCGUUAGUGAACUCGAGCUUCAAAUGCAAAAGUUAUCAAAGCAGUACUGGUGAAUUACAACGAAGCACCAAUCAACACUAGGAUGUAUUAGCACGCCUAUAGUCAGCAUGAAGAUGAUUUGUUACACGGACACACAUGGUGCAACUACUAAUCGUAGCUUGUGUAAACGAAGCGAACGAGUUGAUUUCAACUGGAUUGCUGAAUGAAUCUUGGCAUGGCAGCACAGCAAACGUUUUAGUAUCAAAUGAGUUUGAUGAUCGUAGUGAACGUAGUAAGCGGCGGUUCUAUGCGGCGUUCCUUGGCGUGUACUACCUGCAGCUGUGAUCGAUUUUGUUCCAGCUGUUUGAGGUUAGCUGCUUCUGAUCUUUACCCUGCUGUAAGAAGAAAGCACACCGACGACACACGUGUUUGCUGCGGCGGUGGUGCAAGAGUUUGGCUGUCGCUUUGAAACAGCGCUACUCAACGUAUAUAUCGUCCCGAGCAGAGGCUGCGGUGAUAAUGUCGCAAAGAGUUAAAAUAUUUUCGCCAGUGUCUUCAGUGUAUUUGGUUCCGGGUUCCGGGUAGGCGAUGGGGGGCGGUGGCGGCGGCGGCGGAGCCGGCGGUUCCAGCGGAAGGACAGGAUGUAUGGUUCUGCUUGGCAAGCGUGAAGAGUCCCCAGUGUACGGACGGUGCCUGGGGAACGGCCAGCGAGAAGAGAGCAAAAUCCAACGUCGUUACUACGCGGGGGGAGCAAAGGUGAUAUUUUUGAUCGGCCACAUCAAAAUCGCAACAGCUUUGACUACUCGUGCCACGUACAUAUUUCCGGCGGUAAGAGUCUAGUUGUUAAGCGAGAAAAAAAGGUUACGGCAGCGCAGGCACGGUUUAACAAAUGUUAUCGUAAUAAUAACCAAAAGGCCCGAUUUAGUAGACCAUAAACGGGAAAUAGCAAUGUUGUUAGUGCUUUAUGCGGUUUAUAAACACACAUUGCGCGCAACAACCUUAUGAAAGUCACACGGAUAUAAAAUAACAAACAUCGGCUCCAUUGCUUUGGAUGGCCGUAAAAUUCAAUGUAAGAGAAGUGACUGCCUUGCGUCUGCAGAAUUAUUUUUCCUUUGUGCGAUCUUUGGAAUUGCGAUGGAAUUUAGUUUUAUAACGAGCACAAACGAAGAUUUAUGCCGUGCAAAAGUUCCUAUCAAAACGGCUUCUUUCGCCGAUCAAUUAGUUUGUAAAAGAGUAUAUUGUCUGCACUUCAAGCAACUUAAAAUCAAAGCAAAAGGCAAGAAAUGUCGAACGUGAUUAAAAAACGCUCUCGAAGUUAUCCCGGGAAAGGAGAAUGAUAUCUCAUAGCUACUAGAAGAAGGAAAAAUGGAAUAACGACCUUAUCAUUAUGAUGCCGUAAAACGCAAACAAGUAUUGAACAAAAGACUGACUAAAAGCAAAUGAUAUGAUCAUUUUCAUAGUUAAAUCGUCGCUAAAAGUAUAUUACACACAAACACGUUGACGGAAACGAAGUUGGUGGAAGAUCCUGAUCAAACCAAAAACAAAACUUAUCAGAAGGAUUCGUUACUAAGCCAACGGCUCAUUCUGAAGGACAUGUGGGAAAGAGGGCGGGCAAAAAAAAAACAAUUUAAAACUAAAACACGAACAACGAAACUGAUAACGGUCGAACAGAAAAGAGGAAUCCAAUGGCUGUUUGCUGUCCCGGGGCAUGCGGCGCCCCCAUAUAUUAGCGUUUGCAUCAUUGAUGUCUUAUGGCACCAGAUGUUAGCUAACCCGGACGCAAAACUCCAAUGUCAAAUGUUGCUUUGCAAAGCUACUCAGAGCCAGAACGAGAAAUGAACACGUUGAAAAAUGUUUGUCAACCCCCAAGACCGUUGAGUGUUUCCGGUCACUUUAUGAUGUGCCUGAGAGAUGAUGAUGCUCGCCCAUCCAGCCUUUUUUGGUUGUUUGGGCAAUGGUUAAACAAGCGUACUGGAAAAAGAAUCGAGCAAAGCAAACGAGCAAGCUAAAAACAAAAGAAAAACAAAAUAGUCCAAUAAAAUUCCACUUUCAUUUCGAAACGAAGCCUUUCUUUCUGUUGUAACUUUUUGAUUGGACCAAGGAAACAAAACACAAACAUUCGAAUCGCUGGGUGUGCUGUCACCUCCAAACUAUUUUUUAUUGUUUGUUUUAUUUCGUCCUCACUCCGAGGAUACCAUUACUGUAUGGCGGCAACCUGUGUCUAUUCUAUCGUUUUUUCUCUCUUGCUUAUAUCCUCCGGUCCGGGCCCUAAAGGAGCCUUACGCUGAUCACUUCCUUUCAGUCGCCUGUCUCGUGUGGUUCGAUCUAGGUUGGGCCAGCCUGACGCGAUGCCUCUGAAAUCUUGUGACAGCGUGUGUGUGUGUGAGGCUUAAACUCAAGGAGCAAGCAAACAAAACAAGGAGGUUGAGGUUUGAAAGCGCGAAGAAAGAAGAGAAGAUGGAAAGAUUGCAAGCGAAUAUCACGGCAACAGUAAAGGGUAUCUCACGAAAGCGUUAAAGCAAGCCCGGUUACAAACAUGGUAAAUAUGGCAAUAAGAUUCUUACGAAUCGAAAUGCAACAGGUAAUGGUGAACUCGCCGGAGAAGAGAAAACACUGACACGGUUGUAAAUACGGUCGCACAUAACCGAGUUGUGCCCGUUACACGACACGCGAAAAGAAAGCUGCGUGAUAGAAGCAAACCAGCCAAUCGGAACAUUGUAAAACUAACCCUGACGCGAUCGAAAUCCAGAACCCCAGAAUGACACGCGGGCAGGACGAUGAUGUAAAAAGCCUAUCGUAUGUUUUCCAAACGAGACGCGGCUCCCCCCCGGAAAUGGUCGGGCCUCCUUUGCCCGUCUAUGGUAUGGCAAACGGUAUCUCAUCCAUGCCUCCGGUGGUUACGAAGAGCCUUUCGCGCAAAACCCGAUCAGUCCCGUUUCAAUUUUAGUCCCGUCCCAUAUCUAUCAGAAGAGGACCAACAGGGAGAAGAUGCUAGAAAGGCCACACGCGAGCGCACGAAAGGAUGCACAAGAUCGAGCUUAGAUACGAAGACACGGUCUGAGAAAGCAAACACUUGCGGCGAAUGAAACGAAAAAAAAAAUCAAAAACGGAGAAAAGACAAUCGAGAAAAACGUUCGCGUACUUCAAUCAAUCAAGGUAUCGCGAA
Anopheles coustani is the source of this 6277-nucleotide long non-coding RNA. RefSeq lists it as uncharacterized. The transcript has 3 exons. The record is from RefSeq and is a predicted model, not a curated record. NCBI's taxonomy places the organism in Eukaryota, Metazoa, Arthropoda, Insecta, Diptera, Culicidae.